AUGAUCUCCCAGACUCAGUUUCUCUGGCUCCUUGUGCUCUGCAUUCACGACUCCAGUGGGCAGAUUGUGCUGACUCAGACUCCAGAAUCCCUGGCAGUGUCUCCUGGAGACACAGUCACUAUCCGCUGCAAAACCAGUUCCAGUGUCGGCAGUGAGAUGGCCUGGUACCAACAGAAAUCAGGACAAGCGCCUAAGCUCCUUAUCUACUACGCUUCCAGCCGUCCGUCUGGGGUCCCAGACCGGUUCAGCGGCAGUGGGUCUGGCACCGACUUCACAUUCACCAUCGGCAGAGUUGAAGCGGACGAUGCCGGAGAUUAUUACUGUCAGCAGCAUUAUACCACCCCUCUCGCACAGUGA
Molecule: non-coding RNA, 357 nt
Organism: Pelodiscus sinensis (Chinese soft-shelled turtle)
Lineage: Eukaryota; Metazoa; Chordata; Testudines; Trionychidae
Source: the annotation of a RefSeq genome assembly